UGGUGAAAUCAUGAGAGUCUGUAUCUUAGAGUUUCUACUAAUCUUUGAACAUGAUUACUAGAUUUUUGUGUUAAAUUAUUUUAAGAUUAAAAAUUAGUUUUAUGAGAUGAUCAUAGAUCUUGUACAACUAUUAUUGAAGUGCCGAUGGAAUUUUUCAUGUUGAUUUUUUAAAAAAAUAUAUAGAGAGAGACUUUAAGAAGCUCAAACAAGUUUAACCUAAAAGAAGAGAUCUUAGAGGAUUUAUUAUGCUCUCAAGCUAGUUAAUUUUGAAACUUUUGACUCAUCGGAAUAUAA
This 294-nucleotide long non-coding RNA is filed under the name Elaeis guineensis (African oil palm). Its description in RNAcentral is "long non-coding RNA (EGUI_LNC002483)". Lineage: Eukaryota; Viridiplantae; Streptophyta; Magnoliopsida; Arecales; Arecaceae. The record is from RNAcentral.